RNAcentral lists this ribosomal RNA (375 nucleotides) under uncultured organism. RNAcentral's name for it is "bacterial SSU rRNA". It matches the Rfam family "Archaeal small subunit ribosomal RNA", at positions 476 to 851 of the family's 1478-position model. The record is from RNAcentral.
CCAGCACCCCGAGUGGUCGGGACGAUUAUUGGGCCUAAAGCAUCCGUAGCCGGUCAUGCAAGUCCUCCGUUAAAUCCACCUGCUUAACAGAUGGGCUGCGGAGGAUACUACAAGGCUAGGAGGCGGAAGAGGCAAGCGGUACUCAGUGGGUAGGGGUAAAAUCCUCUGACCCAUUGAAGACCACCAGUGGCGAAGGCGGCUUGCCAAUACGCGCUCGACGGUGAGGGAUGAAAGCUGGGGGAGCAAACCGGAUUAGAUACCCGGGUAGUCCCAGCUGUAAACGAUGCAGACUCGGUGAUGGGCCGGCUUUAUGCCGGCUCAGUGCCGCGGGGAAGCCGUUAAGUCUGCCGCCUGGGGAGUACGGUCGCAAGACUG